CACACACAUAUAUAUAUAUAAACUAGAUCUAAAUUCCAGAAAUUGCAAGAUUUUAGAAAAUCAUAUUUUCAAGAUAGGUUUUCUUUAACUUAGAUCCUGGUAGUGAAAAUACAUUUGCAAUCCUAAAAAUACCAUUAAACUAGUUUCAUUAGGACUUAGAAAUAGUUUGCAGCUCAAGUAGAAAAGAGAUUAAACCUAUGUCGUAUUAAUGAGUAAAAUCUCACCUUGUUUAUCUUUUGAUGAAGUAACAUAAAUCAGUUCUCUCUCAGUACUGACUUUGAAAAUGUAUCCUUCAUGUUUCAAUCAACAGUCAGCCCUGAAAUGAACUUAUAGCUGCACCUAAUUUAUCUUCCUCAAAAAUCUGGUUGUUGAAUGUGUUGAAUUCAUUAGGCAAUGAAAGGGGGGAUGGGUACUUUUAUUUUUAUUCAUGCAUCAUUACAGGACAUGUAGGAACCUUAGAAAAUUCAAGAUGUAUAGGAUCAAAGUUGUUUCAGAAGACAAGAAGAUGCUGAGACUUUGAUUAGAGUUUGGAGUUCCUCAAAUUCAUUGGAGGUUGUUUGUUAAAAAUUGUAUCUUUUUGUUUGUGUAUGUGUGUGUGAGGGAGAAAGAAGGGGGUGAGGUUGACAGAGAAAAACUGUUAUGUCUCUCUAAUUAGAUGGGAAGCUUGCAAAGGUAAGGAAAUAUGUUUUGUUUACUGUUAUAUCCUCAAAAAUUUACAAAAUGCCUGAGACAAAAUAGAAGCUCAAUUAAUAAUACUUGAACACUUAAUGGCCAAUUAAUAACACUUGGAUGAACCUAUAGUAAAUAUAUUAUCCAAGAGCUGUGUAAUAUAAUGUAAAUUCUGUUCAUUUUUCCAUUUCUACAAGAUAAUUUUAUUAAAAAAUCAAUUACUAUUAUUAUGCUCCAUCAGUUCCUAUUUCAUUUAACUAUGGAGAGGGUUUGAAUAAUCCAGACCCUAGUUGGGUUAGACACUGCUAAAUUUUGCGUUUAGAGCAAGAACCAAGCAGCAUGAUUCACUCGUUACGUUUUAUUUUUAUGCAAUUCUAUACCCAGAUAUCUUUGUUUUAUCAGCGGCUCUUGUAAUGGUAGAGAGCUGUUGACAUCAAGCUUUCCUCAAUUCAAUUUUAUUGGUUGUCAGUUAACCACCUUAUCUAUGUAUUAGUUGCCCAUUGUUUUGAUUUUUGAGUAAUAUUUUAUUAUUUAGGUAUUCUACAAUUUGUUUUUUCAUUCACUACCUAAUGAACAUUUCUGGGUCAUAAUCCAAUGUAUUUAUUUAUUUAUUUAUUUUUACUUAAAAUGUUCUAAUGUUAGCCCUUAGGAGCUUUUUUAGGUUGUUUUCUGUGCCAUUUAAGCAUAUCUCCAGACUUUUUUGGAUAUUUCCUUAUUCUCCGACAGCAGAAGAUACUCCUAAUCAUCAGAACACGAUAACACAUGUAGAGCAGAGCACUGUGCACCAGUUACUAAUGCCAGAAGAGGACUCUCACUAUAUGGAGGGUAAUGAAGAUCAUCACAAUACCAGCCACCAGGAAUAGAAGUCCAGAUACUUCUGCCCACUGUCUGUUAGUAUUGGAGUCACCAAAAAAUCACAAGUCAAGUACUUGGUGGAAAAUUACUUUACUCACAAAAAGAUACAGAGCAAGAUCAGUUUCGGUAGUGGACAUCUGUCACCAUGGUCCCUCCUAAAAGACAAUGCAGGGCAACUGGCCUAUGAGCACCCAACUAGUGCUACACUAGAAGGACUCUGACACCUCCUCCAUGAAGUAUGAAAUAUCAAAAACUAGGGGCAUGCCUGAGCGCCAUUGAAACACAGUGCUUAAGCAGAACAAAGACGUAAAGACGUACUCAUUGAGUCUGAAACAGAGAAAGAUACUUUCUCACUAAAUCUAAACCUGGGAUAGGUACUGCCUUUCCCAAUACAACAGAUUUUAGUAAAUCCUCCAAAUUUGUUUGACUUUGUUCCAUUUGUUUUGGUAAUUAUCUAUGCUGUCCCUUUCUAUAUACAAUUAGCAUAAGCUAGUCAAUACAACAAAAAUAUAUACAGCAAAUUAGAUUGGGUUUGCAUCAUUCUAUAGAUUAGGAGAAUAUUGAACAUUAUAAAAAUAGUGAAUAUUCCAAUUCAUGAACUCAAUAUAUUUAUUCAUUUACUAAGACAUUCUUGAUUUCUUAUUCAGCAUUCGUAGGUAACAUGCAAAUCCUGUAUCUAUUUUUGUUAACUUUGUACCUACAUAUUUUGUUUUUCCUGAUGCUAUUGUAACUAUUACUUUAAAAUUUAAUUUCCAUGUGCCUAUAGUCCCAACUUCUUGGGAGACUGAGGCAAAAGACUCAGUUGGGCCCAGGAGGGAGUUUGAGUCUAGUCUGGGCAACACAGAACCCCACCUCUAAAAAUUAAAUUAAGUUAAAAUUAAAAAAAAAAAUUUCCAUUUGUUCAUGCCCAUUAUGCAAAUAUGUAAUUGACCUAGUACCCUGGAACAUUCCAAAAUUAUUUUACUAAAUCUGGAGAUUUUGUUAUAGAUCUAAAGACUGUGAAUUCAUAUGCAAAUAUGUUGCUUAUAUAAAUAGACUUAUUUUACCAUUUUUA
RNAcentral lists this long non-coding RNA (2578 nucleotides) under Homo sapiens (human). RNAcentral describes it as "HSALNT0302627". Lineage: Eukaryota; Metazoa; Chordata; Mammalia; Primates; Hominidae. The record is from RNAcentral.